Molecule: non-coding RNA, 2008 nt
Organism: Podarcis muralis (Common wall lizard)
Lineage: Eukaryota; Metazoa; Chordata; Lepidosauria; Squamata; Lacertidae
Source: RefSeq, a predicted model, not a curated record
UCAGUCUAAUGGAUAUUUAUUUGGGGAAAAUCCAUGGGUCAGUGAAAGAGGACCUGCCUUGCAUGGACGAAGCUCCCAGGUUUAAUCCCUGGCAUCUCCAGUCUGGCCCCCCGACAAGGUCUGAGGGACAGUGGACCGGCUCCCUGCUGAAAAAGUUUGCUGACCCCUGUCUAAUGCAUCAGGAAGAACCACCUGGACAAAAUUGCAGUAAAUUGUAAGGCUAACUGAGAAGUACAGAACUGAACUGAAGACUGGAGAAAUGAGAAGCAGAAAACAGAAAUUGAUGUUAUCUCACCGAUUCUUCAUCAGGGAUAAAGAAGAUGGUGGUUGCAGCCAUGUGGCCUAGCACUUUAAUGUCAUGAUUUGUUUAACAAUAUGCAUAUGCCGCCUGAUUGUGAAAAAACAAGAGAAGCUUCUCUUCACAGUAGCAGGAAAACCAUGGUUACAACUAAUGGCUAAUCUGGAGAGAGCUAAACCAUGAACCCGGGUUUGGACAACAUGCUAAUCCAAACUACAACCGUAUCUGUACUGUACCUUUAAAGCAGUAUCACACCACUUUAAACAGCCAUGGCUUCCCUCAAAGAAUCUUGGGAAGUGUAGUUUGUAAAGGUUGCUGAGAGUUGCUAGGAGACCCCCUGUUCCCCUCACAGAACUACUGUUGCCAGAGUGGUUUAACAGUCAGUUCCUUUUCCCAGGGGACUGAGGGGAAAAGGGGUCUCCAACAACUCUCACAGCACCAUUAACAAACUUCACUUUUGAGGUGCCUUUGGGGGGAAGCCAUGACUGUUUAAAGGGGGAAUAAUCCUGUUUUAAAUGUAUUGUGCUUCUGGGGAUCAAGAUUGCAAUCCUAUAUAUGUGGGAAUAAGUUCCACUGAUGCUGGUAAGACAUACAGUACUUCUGGGUAUCACACACAGGAAUCCUGUGCUGCAAGGUUAAAUUAUUAUUUCAUCAUCAAAACCUCAGACAGGGCCUAUGGCUUUAAUCAGCAUGGUAAUGUGGAGAGCAAGGCUUAUCUGAACCAAGACACCAACAUAUAAAGAAGAAAGUCAUGAGGGAAGAUUUGUUAACAGGCUUACACCUAACAUUCAGAAAUCUGUGAAAUAACAUUCCAGUUUCAGACGAUACUCUUCUGCUGACAUGAAACCUGCUGCACCUGAAUUUAUUGGCAAGUUUGAUUUAACUAAUCUAGGACUCAGUUGAGACCAGGGUUGUCUCUACUGCUAACACUGUUACGGCCAGUCAAUACGGAACAUUUGCUCCGAUUUAUUUCCCAAUCAGCCUUUUGUCCCGUUUCGAUGCAUUCCUAACCGCACUUUUUCAAAAAGUGAUUAUGUCAUGCCAGGGCGACAAAGCUCUUCAUGCCUUUUAAUUGCACCAACCAAAAGUUGCAGCAUACUCUUGAAUCCCUCCUGCAAAAAUACCGACAAGGCUGGAGGCAUUGUGCGUACUCACCAAUAACAGCUGUUGUGAAAGGUCACUGCAAUAAACUAGGAGACAUUUGAGCUUCACAGAAACAUGCCUUGGAGUUACUCUUAUCUCUGGCAUUUCUUAACCCACUUUCUCUCUCGCACACAGGUGUAGAGAGAGAAUCUGCCAACCAGUAACAGCACUUCAGAGACGAAGAGUCUUGUGGCGCCUUAAAGACUUCGUUUUCCGGUGCACAAAAGCUCGUGCUAGAAGAAUAUAGUUGUUAACCUUCAAGGCAAAAUGGGACAUUUUUGUUGCUUUCGUUGCAAUAGCCCUAACACUGCGAAACCCGCCCCAGGAAAGUCUAAAACUUGGUGCAGGCACAACAAACCUUUAAAUUAGCAUGUGAUGCUCUGUUUAUCUGUGUGGUUUGCUCUCCCGGGCUAAAUCUCACCGGACUGGAGGUCUGAAAUGCACGCAGGAGACCUAAACUCUGAGACAUCCACAUAAGCAGUUUGAAAGCAUGACCCCUCCCAUAGCUCAAAGCAUCAAGUCUUCCUUCCCCCCUCCCUGGCUCCCUAGUAGUCUCUUACCCACAGA